AUGUUUACUAAAUUCCUAGAAGGACUUAAACUAUCCACCUCGCCGAUGAAAGUGGGUGAUCCCACUAACAAGGUGACGGAUGCUAACUCUGACAAGGGGGAAGCUAAUAGUGAGAAGGGUCCUUCUACUAGUGGUAGAAAUGGCACCGGCAUCUAUGCCCAUGUGGAACCUCCUACUUAUGGUGGACCAAUUCCCUCUACUCAUUUAAAUCAUGCCGGUCCUCCUCCUAAGAUUGUGAAAAAUGAGGAUUUUGAUGCUUGGGUUUAUCGUUUCAAGCGUCAUUUAAAACAUGUGAAUACUAAUCUUUGGAGAAUCAUAGAAGAAGGUUUCUAUCCACAUGACCCAAGCAACUUCACCCCUCAAGAAGCCGUGGAUAAUCAAUUCAAUGAGAGUGCUCUCUUCAUCAUCCAAGAUGCAAUCCUUCUCGAAGAUCUUCCUCAUCUUCGACCUCAUGCCAUGGCUAAAGACGCAUGGCAAUGUGUUGUGUCUCUCUAUCGAGGAAGUGCUAGCAUUCAACGCUCCAACUAUGAAGUGGUGCAAGAUGAAGCCGAUGAGUUUGCAAUGAAAGAAGAUGAAGAACCUCGUGAGCUCUUUCGAAGAGUGACCAAACUCGCGGUCGCACUCUGA
RNAcentral lists this ribosomal RNA (627 nucleotides) under Triticum aestivum (bread wheat). Its description in RNAcentral is "partial small subunit ribosomal RNA". The record is from RNAcentral. Lineage: Eukaryota; Viridiplantae; Streptophyta; Magnoliopsida; Poales; Poaceae.